RNAcentral lists this unclassified non-coding RNA (374 nucleotides) under uncultured Sphingobacteriales bacterium. RNAcentral describes it as "contains 16S-23S intergenic spacer region". The record is from RNAcentral. Lineage: Bacteria; Pseudomonadati; Bacteroidota; Sphingobacteriia; Sphingobacteriales.
UCACUACUUGCGUAGGCAGUUUUCUUAGAGUCCCCAGCAUGACCUGAUGGCAACUAAGAAUAGGGGUUGCGCUCGUUAUGGGACUUAACCCGACACCUCACGGCACGAGCUGACGACAACCAUGCAGCACCUUGUAAGACGUCCCGAAGGAAAGUCCGCUUUCACGAACAGUCGUCUCACAUUUAAGCCCAGGUAAGGUUCCUCGCGUAUCAUCGAAUUAAACCACAUGCUCCACCGCUUGUGCGGGCCCCCGUCAAUUCCUUUGAGUUUCAACCUUGCGAUCGUACUUCCCAGGUGGAUCACUUAAUACUUUCGCUCAGUCGCUGACAGUAUAUCGCCAACAACGAGUGAUCAUAGUUUACAGCGUGGACUAC